AUUUUAUCAGCUAAUAUUCAGAAAAUCUUAUGGACAGAAAGCUUUCUUCUUCCUCUGAAUUGUAUGGAUGUCCUUGAAUUUCACUGAUACUGAAAAACUAGUUUAUCACACCUCAGCAGCUGGAUCAGCAGCAUUCUUGCAGCCUGUGUCAUGUGUGUGCAGAAUGUCCUGUAAAGCAGCCAGAUGUGAGGAUUUUAUCAGACUGAGAGGAAGAUGCAUCUAGAUACUGCUGCUACAUAGAGAUGCAACUUUGAUAGCUGGUGUGGGCUGUGCAUUUUCCAUCUCUUGCCCAGAACUUUUA
RNAcentral lists this long non-coding RNA (301 nucleotides) under Cyanistes caeruleus (blue tit). RNAcentral describes it as "lncRNA (ENSCCEG00000023484.1)". Lineage: Eukaryota; Metazoa; Chordata; Aves; Passeriformes; Paridae. The record is from RNAcentral.